This 398-nucleotide ribosomal RNA is filed under the name uncultured bacterium. RNAcentral describes it as "partial 16S ribosomal RNA". It matches the Rfam family "Bacterial small subunit ribosomal RNA", at positions 338 to 734 of the family's 1533-position model. The record is from RNAcentral.
CCUACGGGAGGCAGCAGUGAGGAAUAUUGGGCAAUGGGCGGGAGCCUGAACCAGCAAAGCCGCGUGAGGGAAGAAGGUACAGCGGAUCGUAAACCUCUUUUGUCAGGGAACAAAGGCGGGCACUAGUCCCCGGAUGAGGGUACCUGAAGAAAAAGCAUCGGCUAACUCCGUGCCAGCAGCCGCGGUAAUACGGGGGAUGCGAGCGUUAUCCGGAUUUAUUGGGGUAAAGGGGUGCGCAGGCGGCCUGUUAAGUCGGCGGUAAAAGCCCGGGGCUCAACCCCGGCGCGCCGUUGAAACUGGCGGGCUGGAGUUGGGGAGAGGUACGCGGAAUGCGCGGUGUAGCGGUGAAAUGCUUAGAUAUCGCGCAGAACCCCGAUUGCGAAGGCAGCGUACCGGAU